CGGCCCCCGAGGAGCGGAAACAAUCCUUGGGAGGUAUGCGGGGGCUUCGAGCCCCCCCAUUUACGCACGCACGACUGCCAUCCUUACUUUACGAGC
Molecule: ribosomal RNA, 96 nt
Filed under: Pseudopithomyces kunmingensis
Lineage: Eukaryota; Fungi; Ascomycota; Dothideomycetes; Pleosporales; Didymosphaeriaceae
Description: partial 18S ribosomal RNA
Source: RNAcentral